CCACAAUGGGGGAAACCCUGAUGGAGCGACGCCGCGUGCGGGAUGAAGGCCCUAUGGGUUGUAAACCGCUGUUCAGUGGAAAGAACAUCCUCCGGCUGAAUAGGUCGGAGGCCUGACGUUACCACUGCAGAAAGUCCCGGCCAACUCCGUGCCAGCAGCCGCGGUAAUACGGGGGGACGAGCGUUGUCCGGAAUCAUUGGGCGUAAAGGGCGCGUAGGCGGCGAGGAAGUCGAAUGUGAAAUCUUGCGGCUCAACUGCAAAACUGCGUUCGAAAACUUCCUCGCUUGAGUAUGAGAGAGGUGUGCGGAAUUCCUGGUGUAGCGGUGGAAUGGCGUAGAUAUCAGGAGGAACACCGGUGGCGAAGGCGGC
RNAcentral lists this ribosomal RNA (369 nucleotides) under uncultured microorganism. RNAcentral's name for it is "bacterial SSU rRNA". It matches the Rfam family "Bacterial small subunit ribosomal RNA", at positions 366 to 725 of the family's 1533-position model. The record is from RNAcentral.